CCUUUGUACACACCGCCCGUCGCUACUACCGAUUGAAUGGCUUAAUGAGACCUUGGGAUUGGCGCCUGGGAGCCGGCAACGGCACUCGGAUGCUGAGAACUUGUUCAAAUUUGGUCAUUUAGAGG
This 125-nucleotide ribosomal RNA is filed under the name Fereydounia khargensis. RNAcentral describes it as "partial small subunit ribosomal RNA". It matches the Rfam family "Eukaryotic small subunit ribosomal RNA", at positions 1657 to 1779 of the family's 1831-position model. Lineage: Eukaryota; Fungi; Basidiomycota; Ustilaginomycetes; Urocystidales; Fereydouniaceae. The record is from RNAcentral.